GCGGAGUCUGUAACCUGAAGCGUAUGUACCCUGAAGCAUAUGUAACCUGAGGUACCUCUGUAUAGAUGAACUUUUACCUCAGAUGCCAUGUGAUAAACGGAUCCUUAAUAUUUCCCGUCUUAAGCAGAUAACCGCAAUAUCUGUUAAAAUGUCUCUCACAAAUGUUCUAGCAUGCCUGGAAUCCAAGACAGUGAACUAUUUAGAGUUUGCAUAUACAGUUUAUACAGUGAGUUAUAUGUUUAAUAUAAUGAUCGUGUUCACUUCUCCCGAUCACGCCCUCCAGUAAAGCUGUUUUAUGGUACUCAGUUGUUUAUAUUCCAGAUAUGGGGAUGACAUAUUAUUCUUCAGAAUUUUCAGGAUAUUUAUUUUUCUACUUUUCAAGAGAAGACUUUAUAAUAAGUUUCAUGGGCUUAAUGUUUACAGCCCUGCCCACUUAAAGUCAUAUUAAAUUAAUAAAGUCUGGGAAACCGUUGAAGCUUUUCAAGUCCUCCUCAGUUAGCGAACAAGACUCAACAGUUUUAAAAGGGCCCACCGUGCACUCUUGUGCUUUUUCUGUCUCGCCUUAGGAAGAAGAACAGAGUUGUUAACACCUGUUCUCACCCAGCGGUUUGGCAUUUGAAACUGACUGCACUGUGUUAAAUUUAAGCUUGACUGUCAAAACCUUCCAGCAUAAUCACUUGCUUAACUGGGCCCCAAUUCCCAAGUACAAUAACGAAUCUUUCUUGCUAGCAGACUUGAUCGCUGAAGAACUGGAAGUAUUUGCCUUCAGACUUUGUAAAUUCUAGUGCAUAUUAGCUGUACAUCUGUGGCUGUGAUUCUCAGAUAAUUCACCCAGCAGAAAUCAGCAGGCUGGGAUUGCAGCCCUCAAAUGACAAUUUCUCCCCAAAUAUUUAAAAGAUUCAUUAUUUGGGGUAGGUUAGGGUAUUCUGAAAAUGAAUAUGUAAUAUUCAAACCUUAUAUUUUUUACGGAGCUCCCGUUGCUCGGUCCCUGCUCCUGCCAACCUAAGCAGUUCGAAAUCACGUCAAAGUGCAAGUAGAUAAAUAGGUACCGCUCCGGCGGGAAGGUAAACAGUGUUUCUGUGCGCUGCUCUGGUUCGCCAGAAGCGGCUUAGUCAUGCUGGCCACAUGACCCGGAAGCUGUACGCCGGCUCCCUCGGCCAGUAAAGCGAGAUGAGCGUCGCAACCCCAGAGUCGGCCACGACUGGACCUAACAGUCAGGGGUCCCUUUACCUUUAUACUUCUUCUUAAUUGUAUUUCACUAUUAAUAUACUUCUUCUUAAUUGUAUUUCAGUUCAGCAAUUACUUUGAUAGAAUUUACUUUGAUAAAAUACAUAUUUUGUUAUUUGCAAAUGGCUUUAGAUACCUAUUAGGCCCAUAAAUUACCAUAUAGCACAUAUUCAACACAAAAAACAGUGACAAUUUGUUGUUGACAAAGGACAGCUGGACAUAUAAAGGGCCCCAUUACCUUCAGUAGCUUAGGGCCUCUUCAAACCUAAAUCUGGCCCUGUUGGGGAUAGCAGCUAUUAAAAUUGGAACUUGCAAACUGCAAAUCCCUCAUAGUCUUCUGGGUAUGCCCAGUGCUCCUGCCAGCUAGCAAAGGAAAUUUUGCUGUACAUGUCCUUUCUGACUCUGCCAAAGCAGGACCAAAAAUGUCUGUAGCAACAUUUCAAAUAGGUUGGGAGUUACUCUUUUUAAUAAAAAGAAGAAGAAGCAGAUGAGCUGCUGCAUUCUCUUGAGGAGCAGUGUCCUGGCAAAGAACCAAUCAGAACACAUUGCACUCUGUCUUACCUCUUCCUCACUUGGCACCAAGAGGGCAAAAUAAUACAUAAAGUCAGUUUUAAAAAUAGUAGGUUUCUUACACAAGGUGACCUAUUUACAAAUACAGAUAAAUAUAAAAUGUUCAUCAUCAUCAUUUGGCCUAUUCCUUCUUGAUGUAACAAAGCUAUAUAAGAGCACAGAACAUGCUGUCUCCAUUUUAGCAAAGUGACUCAAAUAAGAAAGCCACAAAAGAACAACGAAGAAGCGUGCAGUUAGAUCCAAACAGCCUGCAGCAAGAUAACUCUGAAAAGAGAUUGCAAUCAGUUUUGCUCGGGCUGUGGUAAACUGGAGAAGAUGAAAGGAGGAAAACUGUUAAAGCAGAGAUCAAUGUAACUUGUGAUACAAAUGAAACAGGAGCCCCUGGCAUCUUGAGACACAGGAUAUAUCUUUGUCAAUUGGGAACUACUAAACUGUACGUGAAUCUGGACUUGUAUAUCCAUGACAUAUAUAUUUAAAUAUACACCUUCCCUUUUCUCUCUCAACAAUUCUUAAAAGGCAUGAGACAAACUGUAUCACGUAAGAUGUUCUCCAGUGGCGCAGUGGGUUAGUGAGUCUAGCUCUUAACCAGAAGGUUGGUGGUUCAAGCCCACCCAGGAAUGGCUGUGGUCAAGAUUCCAACUCUAUGAUUCCAUAAGAAGCCUAGGUCUGGGUUUCCCAAACUGGUCCACAGCCUACUAAUGGCCCUUGAGCUUCAUUCAGCUGGUCUGCAGCAUAUCUGCAGAUUUGCGGUUGAAAAUGGGAGGCAGUAUAUUCAUCACAUUAAAUAGUUAUACUGCUUUGAAUUGUCCUUUUAUUGACUCCUUGUGCUCCAAAAUCAUCUCUGCUUUUGUGCUGUAAGCUACAAACAGAAUUGCAACGAACUUUGCACACAUUGGCUUCUUUGUGUGCAGACUUCCUGCUGUGUUCUGUGCACCAUAGCUUGGGACAAUUCCCACUCCUUCUCUUCCCCCUCUUUUCUUCCCCAAUGCAUUUCAUUAGAGUGAAAAGAAAGAAAGAAAGAAAGAAAGAAAGAAAGAAAGAAAGAAAGAAAAAGAAAGAAAGAAAGAAAGGUCCAUUGCUAUUUUUCUAGAAAAAGAGGUGUCAGAACUCAACAUAAACUCCUCCCUCAUUCUCUUAGAACAGCAAUAGCACCCCUGAGAGGUGCCAGAACUGAGUGCCGGUAAGUUCCAGCUGAAAAAAAAGUCCUGGAAAGGUCUAUAAACCAGGAACAGAGGUCUACUUUUUCCAUUGUUCCAGUCUGCCCUCUUCCACCUAAUCCUGAUUUGUUCAGCUCAUUUGAAGUAGUUUUCUCCCUGCCAACUCUGAUAGAGAAAGACAGCCAGAGAGACAAGAAGAAAAUUGCAGUUUAAAGGAGUAAUAACAAGUUGUUUUCCAUCUAAGCACUGAAAUCACCCAUAUAAGUACAGUAUAGAAUGCAAAUGUGUAGUAGUACCUUGUUCAUAUAGAUCAGUAGUAGGGAACCUCUGUCUCACAGGCCAAUCUUGGCCUGCAAUUGGUUCAGUUUGGUCUGUGAAGCCAUUUCCCCAAGACAUGGCAUUGGGGAAGUUAUUGAUUCCAACUUCAAUACAGUGGUACCUUCGGUUAUGAACUUAAUUCGUUCCUGAGGUCCGUUCUUAACCUGAAACCAUUCUUAACCUGAGGCACGCUUUUGCUAAUGGGGCCUCCUGCUGCCACCACAGCAGCGCAUGCGGCAGCACAUGAUUUCCAUUCUCAUCCUGGGGCAAAGUUCACAACCCAAGGUACUACUUCUGGGUCAGCGGAGUUUGUAACCUGAAGUGUUUGUAACCCGAAGCAUUUGUAACCCAAGGUACCACUGUACUGUUUGCACCUGCAAAAGUUUCAGAGUGGACAUCCUACUUUGUUGCCAAUUGGUGCAUGUCCCAUGACUUCCUAUUGGAAGUCUGCAUCUUUUCCUACCACAAAUGCAAGAGUACCCCUUGUUGCGAAGCACCCCUUAAAUCCAGCUUUUGCACCUGAGAAGGAAAUUCUAUUUUGGCCUGUACAGAACCUCGCCAAAAACGUGAAUUGCAACAUUAUUGAUUGCUGGCGUUUUUCACUGUAAAUCUUUGCCAUCAUCCCUUAUCAUCUGUAUGUUUAAUGUUUACAAAAGAGCAUCAGACUUCUUCUGGAAGUUAUACAUCAAGAUAUAGUCAUCUAAAAUGCCACUCCUUCACGCCUUCCUUCCUUCCUUCCUUCUCUUCCCCACAAUAACUAAUCAAGUACAGUAGUUUCAAUGAUCUAAGGCUCCCACCUGAAGAGCCACACAGAUAAGUUCACCUCUCCCCAACACAUACCUGGAGAGCAGAAUGAUGAUGCAUUUUUAGAAGCUAUUUCUCAGAUUUAGGAGAAACCUUCUGACUGGAAGCCAUCUGUGUGGAAAUGCUGUAGCUUUACAAACAAACAAACAAAUAAGGGGGGGAACCCACAAGGUAAGAAUCAGGCCAAAGCAAUUAAAGAUGUACUGUUCAGCAAGCUUCUAGUUUAUGUUCUCUUUAAAGCUCUACAGUGGAUUAUUUCACUAAUAUCUGGUUUCACUUACAGCGAUACAAAACAAGCUUUAAUUGCAUGCACCUCAGUAGAAAAAGGAAGCGUCAACUGAUCCAGAAAUCCUCAUUCUCACAGUAAUCGGGUAACUGCCUUUGGAAAUGGUACAAUUUCUGCUGGCCAGGCUUCAGUUUUCACCUGAGAGGGGGAAAGGCCUUUUGCAAGCAGUUUUUUAAACACACUUGAGUGACCUUCUGUGUAUGCGGGUUUAAUACUCUGUCCUUUAAGUUGUCAGUUUGCUUUCCACUCAAGAUAUUGAGACUGCGGAGCCUUGAGACAAAAUUUCCCAACAGUCACUGCUGUGGCCUUUAUCUCUGACCUAAGGUGCUUUCCAGAUGGCAUGGCUGACCCUACCAUUAGGCAGAGUGAGGCAAUUGCCUUAGGUAGCAGCAGGGGCAGACAUGCCACCUCCCCAAAGGCAGGAAUGGGGGGCAUCAGGCUUUGGGAAGGUGGUGCAAGGCUCUGGCAGAAUCCUAGAGCCCUCCUACCUCCUUCCCAAAGGUGGGCAAGUGCUAAUUAGGGUUUGGGAAGUAGGUGCCCCUUGUGCCUUGCCCCCCCCCCCGUGCUGCCCUAAAUCCACCUCCGGUAGCAGAAGGAGGGUGGGGCAGCAGGGGCAGCCUCCCACUCCUAGCUAUUCCCCUCUGUUGGAGAUCAGAGCUGGAUGUGUGCCACAGACCUCUUCUGGCCUCAUUUCUGAUUGAGGAGCAGCCAUAGCUCAGUACCUCUGGUUAAGAACUUAAUUUGUUCUGGAGGUCCAUUCUUAACCUGAAACUGUUCAUAACCUGAAGCACCACUUUAGCUAAUGGGGGCCUUGCGCUGCCACCGCGCCGCCGGAGCACAAUUUCUGUUCUCCUCCUGAAGCAAAGUUCUUAACCCGAGAUACUAUUUCUGGGUUAGCGGAGUCUGUAACCUGAAGCGUAUGUAAGCCGAGGUACCACUGUGUUUCAUGCACUUAACUUGCAGGGGGUCUGUGGUUCCAUCCUUGGCAUCUUCAGACAAUGGAACUCAGGUAGCAUGUGAUAUGAAACACACAGUAAGGAAGCUGCCUUAUAGUGAGUCAAUCCAUCAGUCCCUCUAACUCAGUAUUGUUGACACUGACUGGCAGCAGCUCCCUAGAAUUUCAGACAAGGGACAGUCCCAGCCCUACUUGGAAUUGCUGAGCAUUGAACUUGGGACCUUCUGCAUACUAAGCAGAUACUAGCCCACUAAGCUAUGGCUCUUCAUCAUUAGAGUCUGAGGCUGCAGCUGACAGGAACAGGGCACUGGGGGUGAAGUUAGCUUGUGUGGCCUCCCUCUGUGCAUUCUUGGCAAACAUCUGAACAGAGCUAGAAACGCAUUCCAAAGUAUAGCGGAGAUUAUUUGAACACAUAUCUUCUGCAUUCUGGUGCCCUUGUUUUCAGAGCAGAAUGAGCGUGCUGGGGGAACCCGGCCAGAUGGGUGGGGUAUAAAUUAUUAUUAUUAUUAUUAUUAUUAUUAUUAUUAUUAUUAUUUCAAUUGGGGUUUAAACCACUUGUUACAUUAAGUGAGUGAAAUCCAUUAACAUGUGACAGCACCCCUGAUUUUUGCAUUUCAAUACAUUAGUUGCUUUCAUGCAAUUAACUUGCUGUGUGAGAACAUGAUGAUUCUCUGUCCUUCACUCAUGUUUGCUGGUCCAAGCUGGUCCCCCAAAGAAAUAUGCAGCUAACCACUCUUGUUUCAGCUGCAAGCCUUUGAGUUCAGUGAGGUUGUCUGGUAUAAUUGAGAUGGGAGUUUGGUCCAAAUAAUCUCCAUUCUACUAUCACGGGCUUCAACAUACUCAGCAUUGCAACAGGAUCUGCUCAAAGGGCAGAGUGCAUGGAGUGCAAAUUUUGUCCCUGUCAGAUAAGCAGUCGUGAAAUCAAGCCACCGCUUACUCAACAACUGUGAGAACAGUGGGAGAAAGCAGCUUAGGAAACAUUGUCAGCUCUGUAUCUUGUACUCUAGCCUUUCCUGCGAUGAUAACAGGGAACAGGUAAUUCUCAUUCUGCAAAUGUGACUUUAGGGGCUCCAAUUUUAUUCAUAUAUAUACACAGUGGAACCUCAGUUUUCAAUCGUCUGGGAAGUCGAACGUUUCAACUUUCAAAUGCCGAAAACCCAGAAGUAACUGCUCUGGUUUUUGAACGAUUUUCAGAAGCCGAAUGUGCAACACAGCUUCCAUAUUGAGUUUCCCUAUUGCAGUGGUGUCCAAACUUUUUUCAAAGAGGGCCAGAUUUGAUGAAGUGAACAUGCAUGAAGGCUGGCCUAUACAUAAAUCCGACACUGGGUCAAGAAGGUGGCCGCCCCUCUGUCAUCACCAUCGCUGCAGCAUCAACGUCCCGAACGUGUACUGUAGUAUUUAUUUAUUUAUUUAUUUAGCCACGCCCCCCGGCCAACCAGAUUGGUUGACCCAAGGAGUGAUGCAGCCGGGGCCUCCCUAAUGGCGCGGGGGAGGGCUAGCCACACCCCCAGAGGGGAGAGCUCGUGACAAGCCCGUAAAAAGGAAAUGGCUUUGGUGGGCAGGCGCUCGGGGGCUGCAAGAGAUUGCUUUUUCAAAAUUGCCUGGUGGGCUGUUUGAAACCAGCCUGGGGGCCGCAAUUAGCCCCCAGGCCGGACUUUGGACAUGCCUGCCCUAUUGUAUUGAGGCUUCCAUACUGAGUUUUUGGUUUUCCAACAUUUCAGAAAGCAAACGGUCUACUGAAACAGAUUACGUUCGAAAACCGAGGUUCAACUGUAUUUCUCAACUUUUUUUUCUUUUUCAGCCAUGGAUACACUACAUGCAAAAGAUCUAAAGGCAUUUUCACAAGUGUCAUUCAUAUGUGUCCACAAUGCACAAAAGCAGCAGGGACUGCAGGUAAACCAAGGGGAAUCCCAUCCCCUGCAAUUCUAAGAUGCAUCAAUAACUGAGAGCCUCAUGUCCCUUUAACAAUGUUUCAUCAAUUAACUAUUGUAAGAGUUGUGGACAAAAGUAAAUAUAACCCAUGUGUAACUGCUGCAAGAAAACCUGCACGUUCAUUGUCUUAGUAGAUAACCAAAUUGAACAGGGAGUAGGAGGUAGAGCAGUAACCAAAGGCACCUUAAGGCUGCAAUCCUACACUCACAACCCUGGGAUGAUAUUUGAGUAGACCCAUGCAGGAUUGAACUAGAAACUACAAUUAGAUGCUAAGUGUAAGCUGGCACAUACUGAGGAGCAUAUAAUGGAUUGAAUGUUAUUUAUUUCAUUGGUAAUGUUGGUUACUUUUAAUUAUUGAUCAUUUAUUACGUUUCUAUUGUGUCUUCAACCACAAAACUCAAGGUGGCACACAUAGUAUUCCCAGGUGGUCUCACAUCCAGAAAUUGACCAAAGCCAGGUUACAGCAAGGUACUUAUCUCAUGUUAUCUUCAGGCAAUAUAUAUAUACUCAAUUCAGGCACCCCACUUGUUGGGAAUGGAGGUUGCUGAUGGGUGCUUGUGCUUGAGGCAAGGUUCAUGCUAAGGUUCUGGGAGGAGAAAGUCUUGGCACAUGCUCAAGUUCCUGUGUCUCCUCAGAAGAACCAUUUUAUAUUUAUGAAUUUGUUUCUUAAUACAUGUAUAUCCCACCUGUCCCUCAAGGAGGCUGAUGUAGCAAUAGCAUGUGUGGUUCUCUCCUCCUUAUGUUCUCCUCACCAUGACCUUGUGAGGUAGGUUGUGCUGAGAGUCACCCAGUGAGCUUUGUGGUGUGGCAGAAUGAGGAUUUGAACCCUGGUCUUCCAUGCUCUGGUCAGAUAUGCUAACCACAUACCACACAUUGGUUUUGCAAACGUUUUGCAAAGUGCUUCUCUGUAGCACAAAGCACCCCUUCUCCAUUUCCUAUCAAGGGAGUCCACCUGAGAGUGCCAUUAUUAUAUACCUUUAGGCGCCAGGCCAAAACUUUCCUCUAUAACCAGGCCUUUGGCCUUUAACUAUCUGAGACCUUUUAGAAGUGGGUGGGGUGUUUUUAAUAAUGUGUUUCUCUUUCCUCUUGGUUUUAAUAUAUCUGAAUGGGGUUUAUUGUCUGUUUGGUUCUAAGUUGCUUUGGGUGGCCCUGGGCAAGAUAAAGUGACUGAGAAAUUCAAUUUUAAAAAACAAUCAAAUAAAUAAAUGUGCCAGGGCUGAGGUGUUUUGGCCACAGGUUGUAAGAGUGUGGAAUGAGUGCUGUUGCACACAUAUCCCGCUUGCGGGCUUCCUACAGGCAUCUGCUUGGCCAGUGUGAGAACAGGAUGCUGGACUAGAUAAACCUAUGGCCUGAUUCAACAAGGUUUCUGUGAUGUUAAUGUGGCAUUUGCACUGUUUCUCUGCCCAUGACUCGCCCUGUCAGUUUUUCUGCUGGAAGGGUGUUCCAGCAGUAUAUUUAGUUUAAAGGCACCACCAGGGAUGCUGUGUGUGUGUGUGUGUGUGUGUGUGUGUGUGUGUGUGUUUAAACUAUUGUUGUGUAUUCUAACAUCAGAAUAAUCUACAAGCAAAACAUCCAGUUCUUUGCAAUGAAAACCCACCUCAGGGGAAACUGAACACCACUCAGCACAGGCAGAGUCUUGUUUUAAAGGCAUAUUGUCUCUGGAAUGUAUUCCUACAAGACCUUGCCCAGGAAAAACAACAGGUUUGAAGCAGAAAAUCUUGUUCUUGCAAAGACAAAUGCUUAACAUGGUGAUUAUAGCCAUGCUGUGAGGUGCUGGCACCUCAUAGAGAUAGAGUCUACCAAUAACACUUUUUGGGGGGUGGGGGGGAAUAACGCCUCAGGGUGUUUUGACAAGCAAACACAGCUCAGGGGAUAGGGUUACACCCCUGUUUUCCAUAUCACAGUCCUAUUCCAGAUGGGGAGACGGACUUAUUUAUUUUUUAGAAAUAGAAAGAGAUGUGGACAGUCCUAAUCAUGCUACAGUACAAACAUUAAACAUAAUUUGGUCUUGACAGAGAAGAAGGCUGAAUAGUACUUUAAUGUUUUCCAGGAUGGAAAAAAAAGAGUGAACAAGCUUCAGCAUCAUGAUGUUUCUACUACAUGCCCUUUCUGCAGGCUAGGAUUUCUGUAGUCCAUUCCUAUCUUGUUAAGGCUUGUCACACCAUCACUUCCGUAGCCAGACACAGAUUCCAUAUCUGAUCAGGUAUUGGUUGUGAAAGUGGGAAGCUGCUACCUGAUACGUUGAAUGAAUUCUGUGUUUUACCAUCAUGGUGUAGUUUUCAGAUGAAAGUGACCAGAACUGUUUCGUACAAUGAUGCAGAAUUACAUAACAGGGAAGUUUGGUAAAUUGUCUCUAUUUCUAAUUUAUUAUAUUAAAACUAACAGCUUGGAAACCCAGCCGGAUGGGUGGGGUAUAAAUAUAUUAUUAUUAUUAUUAUUAUUAUUAUUAUUAUUAUUAUUAUCAUGCUUGGGAGUAGACAUAACACAGUUUAAUUUAUGUGUCUUGCCAAUGGGCUGCAGCAUACACUGUUACUUAGCUUUAACAUAAUUGGUUAAAAAUACAUUUAACAUGCAAAGGAAACUUAUGGUAAACAUAAGUGCGACAAAAAAUAGACAAGCAUAUGUGAAACUCACAAUAAGCAUGAAAUGGUUGUGUGAAAUUGAUUUGUUGAUCUCUGUUACUUGAUGGAUUCUAAACCAGCAGAAACAGUCCUGAGAAUAUUAAAUAUAGUUCUCUUUGC
This is a non-coding RNA of Podarcis lilfordi (Lilford's wall lizard), 9990 nucleotides long. The record is from the annotation of a GenBank genome assembly. Lineage: Eukaryota; Metazoa; Chordata; Lepidosauria; Squamata; Lacertidae.